GUGAGCAACCAAAAAAUACAGAGGUAUUGAGGACUACACUGAAACAUUCAAAUGUGUGGCGAAAACAUGAUUUUCAUUCCUUGGAUGGAACUUCAACCAGAGCCUUUCAUCCUCAAACUGGAUUGCCUCUUCUUUCAAGCCCUGUUCCUCAAAGAAAAACACAAUCAGGUUGCUUUGAUCUGGAUUCUUCAUUACUACAUCUGAAAAGCUUCUCAUCUAGAAGGAAUCUGUCUUGAACUAUCGUUUCGAUCCUCUCGGCAUUGUUGAUGGUUUUACUGCCGAGGUAGGGGCAAGUGGUGCUUUCUGCCCCACACAUUUGACUCUUCCAGUUGAAGUGUCAUUCUACAGUGUUUCAGAUGACAAUGCUCCCUCUCCUUAUAUGGGUGUGAUUACUUUAGAGUCCCUUGGUAAAAGGGGUUAUCGAGUACCUCCUUCAGGAACAAUACAAGUGGUAUGUGUUUUAUAGCCUACAAUUGCAAUAAUCAUUCUCUCACAUACAUAUAGAACUUAGCCCUUUCUCCUGCUACUGCUGCUGCAACAACUUUGGUAAGUAACAGUGGGGCUGCAGCUUUGUUUGGAGUUUCCCUGCUCUGCCCCAGGAAUGACCAUUUGGGGACCUCCAUAAAAGGAAAGCAUUAAUAAGCUAAUCAAGGUGAAUACUUAAGAAAAAUAGCAUAUGACAGUUUGCAUAACUUCAAUAGGACUCUUCAAUAUAUUUAGAACCUAAUAUUACUGGUGCCUUCUUUUUAAUAAACCAGAUUGAGACGAACCUGUUUAAAAGGAGACCCCAAAUAUUAGAAUUGCUUUGGCAGGAAAACUUGGGAAACAAAAUUAUUUCUAAUAGUUUCUAAAAUUGAUUUAAUGAGAUGACCACACAAAGCAGAAAUAUAGUCUGACAGAUGUCAGGGCAGAGAAGGCAUCAUUCCUUUUGGUCUAGGCAUUGAUCUCCUUUUGGCUCAGGAGAGUCCUCCUGUCUCAGAACAGUCCUUCAUCAUUCCUGGUCUAGGGUUCUCAGAAGAAUAAUCUGAUAUUAAGGCCAGCUUGAAAUUGAGUUAACUCUAGAUCUGACCCAGCAUAAUCCUGCAAGCCCUCAAAUCUAUUACAGAGUUUGCAGACUGAAAGAGAGUCUAGCUUAGGCUUGCUCCUCAUACCCAGGAUUUGAUCUAAUCCAACAAGCCUUUUUAUGACCUUUGACCUCAGUGUGUUCAGUACUUUGUCAGAUCACUUUUACUCAUCAUCAUUGUUCCAAUACUACAAGGAAUCUGUAUAUUUGUUUAUUUCAUAUCACACAGGAAUGAAACAGAAGUAUGUAACAUGUGUACGUGUGUGUAUAUAUAUAUACACACAUAUAUAGUAAUACAUAUUUAUAUAAGUUUAACUGAGGAGGAAUUACCACAAGAAUACCCCAAGUAAACCGAUUUCUUGAAGUAAAGGAGUGACAGUGUUCUCUUGCCUUUGGCUGUGCAGCUCAUGAGAAAGUGUGGGUCAGUGGAAAGCUAGCUGUCAGUUGUGAUAAUAAUGAAGCAUAAACUCGGAGGUAACACAUUCACCUCUUGUUUGGAGACUGCCAACUUUAGUGG
Molecule: small RNA, 1580 nt
Filed under: Pongo abelii (Sumatran orangutan)
Lineage: Eukaryota; Metazoa; Chordata; Mammalia; Primates; Hominidae
Description: retained intron
Source: RNAcentral